This 468-nucleotide ribosomal RNA is filed under the name uncultured bacterium. RNAcentral's name for it is "partial 16S ribosomal RNA". It matches the Rfam family "Bacterial small subunit ribosomal RNA", at positions 28 to 507 of the family's 1533-position model. The record is from RNAcentral.
GACGAACGCUGGCGGCGUGCUUAACACAUGCAAGUCGAACGGAAAGGCCCUGCUUUUGUGGGGUGCUCGAUUUGCUAACGGGUGAGUAACACGUGAGUAGCCUUCCCUUGCCUUUGGGAUAACUUCAGGAAACUGGUGCUAAUACCCUAUAGGAGCUCCUGCUGCAUGUUGUUGCUUUGAAAGUUUCGGGGGUUGGGGAUGGUCUCGCGGCUUAUCAGCUUGUUGGUGGGGUAGUGGCUUACCAUGGCUUUGACGGGUAGCCGGCCUGAGAGGGUGACCGGCGAAAUGGGGACUGAGAUACGGCACAGAAGGGAACGGGAGGCAGCAGUGGGGAAGAUUGCAGAAUGGGGGGAAGCCUGAUGCAGCAAAGGAGGGAGCGGGAUGAGGGACAUCGGGUUGAAAACAGAUUUGGAGUGUGAGGAAGAGUGAGUGACGGUAAUGGGUAAAGAAGCACCGGCUAACUACGUG